RNAcentral lists this transfer RNA (74 nucleotides) under Chloroflexota bacterium. RNAcentral describes it as "Chloroflexi bacterium tRNA-Glu". It matches the Rfam family "tRNA". From Rfam's summary of the family: Transfer RNA (tRNA) molecules are approximately 80 nucleotides in length. Their secondary structure includes four short double-helical elements and three loops (D, anti-codon, and T loops). Lineage: Bacteria; Bacillati; Chloroflexota. The record is from RNAcentral. RNAcentral also lists the same sequence under 1 other name.
GCCCGCAUCGUCUAGCGGCCUAGGACAUCACCCUUUCAAGGUGGAGAUCACGGGUUCGAAUCCCGUUGCGGGUA